GUGAAAUGCAACAUUACUGAAAAGUAAUUUCGCAAAGCUAUAGGGUCUAAGGCAUCAGUGCUAUGACAGCCAGUUACCGC
RNAcentral lists this non-coding RNA (80 nucleotides) under human gut metagenome. Its description in RNAcentral is "Cyclic di-GMP-I riboswitch". It matches the Rfam family "c-di-GMP-I riboswitch aptamer", at positions 12 to 85 of the family's 87-position model. From Rfam's summary of the family: GEMM was predicted in a large-scale screen for bacterial structured RNA regulatory elements. The record is from RNAcentral.